AGACCACCAGCUAAGGUCCCAAAAUAUAUGUUAAGUGGAAAAGGAUGUGGCGUUGCCCAGACAACUAGGAUGUUGGCUUAGAAGCAGCCAUCAUUUAAAGAGUGCGUAAUAGCUCACUAGUCGAGUGACACUGCGCCGAAAAUGUACCGGGGCUAAACAUAUUACCGAAGCUGUGGAUUGUCCUUUGGACAAUGGUAGGAGAGCGUUCUAAGGGCGUUGAAGCAUGAUCGUAAGGACAUGUGGAGCGCUUAGAAGUGAGAAUGCCGGUGUGAGUAGCGAAAGACGGGUGAGAAUCCCGUCCACCGAUUGACUAAGGUUUCCAGAGGAAGGCUCGUCCGCUCUGGGUUAGUCGGGUCCUAAGCUGAGGCCGACAGGCGUAGG
Molecule: ribosomal RNA, 381 nt
Filed under: Staphylococcus aureus
Lineage: Bacteria; Bacillati; Bacillota; Bacilli; Caryophanales; Staphylococcaceae
Description: partial 23S ribosomal RNA
Rfam family: Bacterial large subunit ribosomal RNA
Source: RNAcentral